Small nuclear RNA from Callithrix jacchus (white-tufted-ear marmoset), 107 nucleotides. The record is from Ensembl. NCBI's taxonomy places the organism in Eukaryota, Metazoa, Chordata, Mammalia, Primates, Cebidae.
GCGUUUGCUUUGGAAGCGCCUACAGUAUAAUUGAGACGAAACACAGAAGGCCAGCGUGGCGGCUGCGCAAGUAUGACACGCAAAGGUGUGCAGCAUUUCAUAAUUUU